Long non-coding RNA from Dermacentor silvarum, 4095 nucleotides. RefSeq lists it as uncharacterized. NCBI's taxonomy places the organism in Eukaryota, Metazoa, Arthropoda, Arachnida, Ixodida, Ixodidae. The transcript has 3 exons. The record is from RefSeq and is a predicted model, not a curated record.
UAAAAAUCGCUUGUAGCAGGUAGCAUAAUUCUUAUCACUUAGCUUGGUUAUUCGAAGAAACGGACAUUAGUAACACAAGAAAUUGAAACUAAUAUUCUAAUAAUUAACAAAAAAUUUACUAAUGAACUUCUUAGUUAAUUAUUUUACGACACAUAUUGCAAUAUAUGAAUUGUAGCCGGUGAGUUUGCAAGACGCAUCCACCUAAAAUGAAUUUCCAGUAUAACACCAGUUUCGAGAUAUUAUUGCCCAAAGUGUGGGACGAAAUACAUGGGCGUUUUAGUUACUUUAGUUAGUUACGUUUUAGUUAUGUAUAAAACAGCAUUUUGGUAACAAAGUAAGUGUAACAACAGUGCAUUUUUACGGCGAGUUUGAUGGCGCAUAUCUCCAAACUGGUGUCAUUCUGGAAAUUCAUUCCAAGUGGAUACGCCUGAAAAGAUCACCGGCUCAAAUUCGUAAAUCGCAAUAUGUGUCGUAAAGUAAUAAAAUAAGAAGUUAAUUAGUGAUUUCUUCUUAAUUAGUUGAAUGUGUGUUUCGAUUGCUCGUGCUACUAAUGUCCGCCUCAUCGAUUAACCCAGCUCAAUGAUAAGAAUUAUGCUACCUGCCACAGGCGAUUUCUAAAACUUCCGUAAGACUUAACAAUGACCACCCUGUAUAUAUAUAUAUAUAUAUAUAUAUAUAUAUAUAUAUAUAUAUAUAUAUAGACACAAAAUUGGAGCACAAGACAAACGUCCCAACAAGCAGUGACCAAUGACCGAUGAUUGGGCACCUCCUGGAUUCCCAUCGGCUUCUAUUGUAAGUGGCCAGUGCCCUGUCUGUGUCAGAAAACGGCAUUGCCUCCAUGUUAAAUAUGGGCAAGAUGGUGGGAAAAGUAGUAUGUAAGCAUAAUAAAUAAAUAUGUUUUUUAAAGAGUGCGUUUUGUUUAGUUGUUAGCCCUUAGCGCACAAUAAAAUGAAACAAGUUUGGGUGAUCUCUGCGACGUGGUGUCCAUAUUUUACAUGAAAGCCUAGGUCUAUUCUGUAACACGUAGAGACGGGGUGCUGGCCAGUGUGCUGGGAAACUGCUUGGCCACCACGCACAAUCUACGCUGUUAUACUUUGCCGGUAGCAAAUCGUAGCGCAGAAGCACAGGUACAAAUGUUUAAUCAACGGGACGGCAUGCUGUCUACCGUUCGUCAUGAUGUCAAACUAACAAGCACGAACAGCGACAAUUGUGUACGUUGCUGGUCCGUAGUUCAUUUCGCGCCGGUUGCUUCACGUAUUAAAAUAAAUAUUUCUUUUUAAUACAAACGAUUAAAACUGUGCGCGCACACAGGGCGCGACAUUUGCGACGUUUGAAUUUUGCACUAUUUCCCGCGCGCUCCGUACGUGACCGGCCGGCGCACUGCGUUACCGCGAUAAAGAAAAUAGUUCCUCAAGGAAGCUAAGCAGAAAAUUUUCACACUCUUGCAAACCACAGAAAUUGUUAAGAAAUACCAUUAUAUUACAAGAUUUGUUAAUAAAUAUGGCAAUUCACAUCUAUGAAAGCGUGGAUUUGUAUGCGCGUUUUUGUGUGAAUGCGCGCUUGCGCUGUUGACUCUUUGGCGGAUUCCGGAACUUUGUGCGUGCGGCGUAUGUGUGCGGGUUGCGUGAUGAGUUUGCUGUGUUUUCUGUGCCCUUUGCCUCGCUGUGACAUCUUUGGUAUAUUACAACUUAUUGCUCGGUCUUUAUGGGCUACACGGUGCCUCGAAGAUCACCAUGAUCGCCUCCGACUCAGCCACAUCGAAGAAUCAAAAUGAGCCUGGAGACGCCACAGCCGGAAUGCAAAAGGUUGGAGAGGUGCUCAUUCAGAUGAUCCUGGCACAGCUUGCCAUGGUGGACCAGGCAAGUUUGCAAGGGCCUUGAUUCACCAUGUGUUCACUGAGGAGAACCUCAUGGGCCACUUACUUCUCGGAAACACCACCACCAAUAGGCAAAAAGAGGCUCUUGGCCUUAUCAGGGUCAACGCUGUUAUAGGCAAGUACCGUACAUCCUUUUACCCAUUGCAUUUUUGCCUUCACAUUUUGUACUUGGAAUUACCAGCUUGCUAUUAGCACAACAAAUGACUUUCAAGUAGCCUGUGUCUGCAACUACGUGCUACAAUAGCCUACUAUUUGGAAUGAAUGUUCAUUUGAUCUCAAGUCUCUAACGCCUCCAUACUAAAGUGCUAAAUUUUAAAAGCAGCCUUAACUGCCAGAAGUGAUUGGUGGCUCCAACUGACAAAGUUAGGUGUAUUUGCGCAUUAGUUGCACUACUUGACUGUCAUUGCAAUGAACAGUUGCAAUGAAGCAACUACCAAUCUGUAGUACCAAUCUGUGAAGCUUGCUACCAAUCUGUUGCUAUAGCGGGUGUGCUUAAGUAGCCUGAAAGUGUUGUUAUAGGAAUUGUGGAGAAGCUAUGCUCAAGUGCAGUUACUGCUCAACUCGAGGGACAGCACUUCCACCAAAUUUCAGCAAUCAAAAUGGCCCUCCAGAUUCUGUAACGCAAAACAUAGUGGUUUCACCUAUUUCAACAGACCACAUUGAAUUAAAGUUGCUCCUGUCUUGAAGGAGGUCCAUGUGGUGGCAGACAGUAGCCUUUAAGCAGAAUGAGCUUAAGUUACGGGGCAUAAUUGUUUGGUUGUUUCGAUGAAAGCAACAAUAGGAACAGUUGCCAAAUUCGUUGUCAACAUUGCUAUGUUUAGCAAUGUCCAUUCAUUCUAGGCACUCAACCAAUUAAGAUCCAAUUUAUCACAUUGUAUUCUAGGAUGUGGAAAAAACAAAGGUAUUUAUUUGACUUUUCCUCACGUUCCCAUAAAAUGAUCAGUACUCAAUAGGCCCUUGGCAGCUACUAUAUAAAGCUUAUUACAGAACAUGAGGCAUGUCCACAGCUCCCACUCUGAAAUUGUUGGAAAUGUCUCCUGCUUUCUUAAUUCAAGGACGCACUUGCCUGUUUUCAGCGUUAUUAUAAACCAGUGCUCAAGUACUAUGGGUUUAGAUUUAUCAAAGAUUGAAUGAGCUUUGUAGGUGUUCAUGUUUAACCCUUUGAGGAUCACAUAUUUUCUGGCAAACGUCCCCCAAUUUAAGUGUUAUAUUUUUAUUCUGGAUCGUUCUUCAGAGUGACCUUUCGAGAAAAAAAAUGGGUAAAUAAUUUUUUAGGUCACAAAGUGACAAAGAUUUCUUAGUGUCCGCUGUUUUACACCAUGUUUAUUGUAGCAUGCAGGGCAAACUAGCAUAAUCACAUUUUUUAAAUGUAAUGACACUCACAAAACAUUAAACUAGUUGAAUACUCCCAAACUACUGCAGUGAUGGGCACCAUAGAAUAAAGAGAAAGAUCAGUUUUGGAAGAAGCCAAGGGGCAACAGCACAAUCAGGAUUUUUGUAGAAGUCGCAGAAGGUUACAGAAUCUGUAAUGUGAUGCUUGGGGACACUUCAUUCUUAAAAGGUAUGCUUAUUUAUAUGUUCUUUCGCCGCCUCAUAUUUAUGGUCGUGACCACACGAUUUGUUUCCACCACUCUACAUGCAUGGCAGUGACCCUCAAAGGAUUAGCAGAGCCAGUCCACUUGCAUAUUUCUCUUGUAAGACUGAGCAUUUCUUCGUAUUUCUUCUUCGCAUUUAUUUGUGUUAGUGUAACCAGGUCGGCGUGCAACUGCAGUAAAUCCUCGUUAUAAGCAGUAUUUUGUUUUCAGUAGAGAGGCAUAAGAAUGGUCAUCACGAUGCGAGAAGUGCACUCCAGUAGCAUAUGAGCUUGUAAAACAAAUUCAGAUAUACCACACUCAAUUCUGGCCGCAUAACCGUAUUUGGAGCAACUCCUGCAAGGAAAAGUGCAAUAAAGUGCUGCACAUUUUGAUUAUGAUUGUUGAGAGAACUAAUUUUAGUUGCCAGUAGUCUACCUUUAAGUUUUUUCACCAACUGUAUGAAGUCUUUUUUCCACCAUUUUGUUCCUAAGCAAGCAACGUUCACAUUUUCACACCAAGGAUAUUCAUGAAGUUAUUCUGCCACAGUGGGCUUUUCCUGUUUGCCUUCUGCAUAUUGUACUAAGUGGAGUCCUCCGGUGCCACUCCACUUUGAAAGCUGGUCAUUCUCUAGAAUUGAACUCGUGA